CUUCUUGAAUUGCAAGAGCCCCUAUUGCCUCUGGGACACUGCCAAAUGCAGUUGUAUAAAUAGAACAGUGCUGGACUUGCAAUGUAGCAAGGAAGUUAUACAUGCUCAACUUUUUCUUGGUUUGGUCCAGAGGAAAAUUAUAUGCAUGCAGAGGAAUGCUGUCUUGACACAGAUGAGAAUCUUGGUUUUGCUUUUCUUUCUCUUUCCCUUUUUUUUAUGUCAUCCACUGAACACACACAUGCAGAUUUUACACAGUGUGCAUUUUUUUCCAUGGGUAAUUCACUUUUGAUUUCCUGCCCUGUGACUCAGAGGUGGUGCACCGUGAGAGUUGCUGGUCAAUUCACCCAGGACAGACAUUGCCUGACCCGGAGCCUGGGCAACAGAGGAGAAAAGGGGCACAAGCUGCACAGCCUACAGCCAAUGCGAUAUGGACACAGUUGUUUUUCAAGCACAGCAUUGGUUGAAACUAGCAGUCCUUACAACUAGGAUGGGGUAAGUCUUACAAGGAGGACUUUGAAAUUCAUAAUUACAACUUGUAGGGCAGCAGAGGAUAGACUGUGAUGUACUCUGGAGUCAUUACUGUCUUGGAACCACAAAAUUUGAAUGCAUGUGGGCUAAAUGUCUAACUGCUUUCACUAAGGAUAGAGAACAACAGGCAAUCUGGCUGAGAAGAAUCUGGGGAGCAUUUGCUGGAUUUUUGAUAUGUUUUUGCUGGAAUUUAAUUUUCCUUGAGAAAAACACUCUUGUAAACAACACAGAGGAACCUGUUUUGGCUAAAAUCACUUUUGACAGAAGCAUUUUGGUAAACCCUAUCGAACAAUUUUUAAAUACCUGGCCAAAGUUUAACAUCUUGGUGCCCAACAUUUGGUUCCCAAGUUGUUAUCCAGGCACCAAAACUGGUGGUCUGAUUUUUCCCAGGAGCACACUGAACAUCCCGUGCCUCUAGUUGCUGUGGAGUGAAGUGCUGAGUGCUUAGCAGUUCUGAAUUACCAGGCUCAUAGCCAGACUUCUGAAGUCUGAACAUCUAAAAUUAGAGAGCUAAGGUCUGGUCCAAAGCCCAGUAAAGUGAAUGGAAACGCCACUACUGAACUUCUGGUUCUGGGCGAGGCUAAUUCGUGUGUACUUAAAUACCACAAUAAAAAAGUGCCGUGUUCAGGUCA
RNAcentral lists this long non-coding RNA (1160 nucleotides) under Anas platyrhynchos platyrhynchos (common mallard). RNAcentral describes it as "lncRNA (ENSAPLG00000029582.1)". Lineage: Eukaryota; Metazoa; Chordata; Aves; Anseriformes; Anatidae. The record is from RNAcentral.